Molecule: ribosomal RNA, 492 nt
Filed under: uncultured bacterium
Lineage: Bacteria
Description: partial 16S ribosomal RNA
Rfam family: Bacterial small subunit ribosomal RNA
Source: RNAcentral
AGUGAACGCUGGCGGUAGGCCUAACACAUGCAAGUCGAACGGCAGCACAGUAAGAGCUUGCUCUUACGGGUGGCGAGUGGCGGACGGGUGAGGAAUACAUCGGAAUCUACUUUUUCGUGGGGGAUAACGUAGGGAAACUUACGCUAAUACCGCAUACGACCUACGGGUGAAAGCAGGGGAUCUUCGGACCUUGCGCGAUUGAAUGAGCCGAUGUCGGAUUAGCUAGUUGGCGGGGUAUAGGCCCACCAAGGCGACGAUCCGUAGCUGGUCUGAGAGGAUGAUCAGCAACACUGGAACUGAGACACGGUCCAGACUCCUACGGGAGGCAGCAGUGGGGAAUAUUGGACAAUGGGCGCAAGCCUGAUCCAGCCAUACCGCGUGGGUGAAGAAGGCCUUCGGGUUGUAAAGCCCUUUUGUUGGGAAAGAAAAGCAGCAGGUUAAUACCCCGCUGUUCUGACGGUACCCAAAGAAUAAGCACCGGCUAACUUCGUG